AAUUCGAUUGAGUUUGAUCAUGGCUCAGGAUGAACGCUGGCGGCGUGCCUAACACAUGCAAGUCGAACGGAAGUAGCAAUACUUCAGAGGCGCACGGGUGAGGAACACGUAGCUGAUCUGCCCACGAGUGGGGGACAACGGCGGGAAACCGCCGCUAAUACCGCAUACGCUCGCCCUCUAUAGAGGGGGGUGAGGAAAGAUUUAUCGCUCGUGGAGGAGGCUGCGGCCCAUCAGGUCGAUGGCGAGGUAACGGCUCACCAUGCCGACGACGGGUCGGGGGUCUGAGAGGAUGGCCCCCCACACCGGGACUGAGACACGGCCCAGACUCCUACGGGAGGCAGCAGUGAGGGAUAUUGCACAAUGGGGGAAACCCUGAUGCAGCGACGCCGCGUGGGCGAUGAAGGUCUUCGGAUCGUAAAGCCCUUUUUGCACUGACGAGAACGGACGGUAGGUGCAGAAGAAGUCUCGGCUAACUACGUGCCAGCAGCCGCGGUAAAACGUAGGAGGCAAGCGUUAUCCGGAGUUACUGGGCGUAAAGCGCGUGUAGGCGGCUGGAUAAGUGGGGCGUGAAAGUCAUCGGCUUAACCGGUGAAGGGCGAACCAGACUGUCGAGCUAGAGGGUGGUAGAGGGUCGUGGAAUUCGGGGUGUAGCGGUGAAAUGUGCAGAGAUCCCGAGGAACACCAGAAGCGCAAGCGGCGACCUGGGCCAUCGCACGAGA
Molecule: ribosomal RNA, 719 nt
Filed under: uncultured bacterium
Lineage: Bacteria
Description: bacterial SSU rRNA
Rfam family: Bacterial small subunit ribosomal RNA
Source: RNAcentral